This 1365-nucleotide ribosomal RNA is filed under the name uncultured bacterium. Its description in RNAcentral is "16S ribosomal RNA". It matches the Rfam family "Bacterial small subunit ribosomal RNA", at positions 46 to 1404 of the family's 1533-position model. The record is from RNAcentral.
GCUUAACACAUGCAAGUCCAGCGGAGAGAUGGUGCUUGCUCUAUCACUUAGCGGCGGACGGGUGAAUAAUGCUUAAGAAUCUGCCUUUUAGUGGGGGACAACCUUCCGAAAGGAAUGCUAAUACCGCAUACGUCCUACGGGAGAAAGCAGGGGAUCUUCGGACCUUGCGCUAAAUGAUGAGCCUAAGUCAGAUUAGCUAGUUGGUGGGGUAAAGGCCUACCAAGGCGACGAUCUGUAGCGGGUCUGAGAGGAUGAUCCGCCACACUGGGACUGAGACACGGCCCACACUCCUACGGGAGGCAGCAGUGGGGAAUAUUGGACAAUGGGCGGAAGCCUGAUCCAGCCAUGCCGCGUGUGUGAAGAAGGCCUUUUGGUUGUAAAGCACUUUAAGCGAGGAGGAGGCUACUAGUACUAAUACUACUGGAUAGUGGACGUUACUCGCAGAAUAAGCACCGGCUAACUCUGUGCCAGCAGCCGCGGUAAUACAGAGGGUGCGAGCGUUAAUCGGAUUUACUGGGCGUAAAGCGUGCGUAGGCGGCUUUUUAAGUCGGAUGUGAAAUCCCCGAGCUUAACUUGGGAAUUGCAUUCGAUACUGGGAAGCUAGAGUAUGGGAGAGGAUGGUAGAAUUCCAGGUGUAGCGGUGAAAUGCGUACAGAUCUGGAGGAAUACCGAUGGCGAAGGCAGCCAUCUGGCCUAAUACUGACGCUGAGGUACUAAAGCAUGGGGAGCAAANNGGAUUAGAUACCCCGGUAGUCCAUGCCGUAAACGAUGUGUAAUAGCCGUGGGGGCCUCUGAGGCUUUAGUGGCUGCAGCUAACGAGAUAAGUAGACCGCCUGGGGAGUACGGUCGCAAGACUAAAACUCAAAUGAAUUGUCGGGGGCCCGCACAAGCGGUGGAGCAUGUUGUUUAAUUUGAAGCAAAGAGAAGAACCUUACCUGGUCUUGACAUAGUAAGAACUUUCCAGAGAAGGAGUGGUGCCUUCGGGAACUUACAUACAGGAGCUGCAUGGCUGUCGUCAGCUCGUGUCGUGAGAUGUUGGGUUAAGUCCCACAACGAGCGCAACCUUUUUCCUUAUUUGCCAGCGAGUAAUGUCGAGAACUAUAAGGAUACUGCCAGUCACAAACUGGAGGAAGGCGGGGACGACGUCAUGUCAUCAUGGCCUUUAGGGCUAGGGCUACACACGUGAUACAAUGUCCUAUACAAAGUGUUGAUACAUCGCGAGAGGAUGCUAAUCUCAAAAAGCCUAUUGUAGUCGGGAUUGGUGUGUAGAUCUCGUCUACUCGAUGUCAGUAUCUAUUGUAAUCGAGUAUCAGAAUGGCAAUGUGAAUAUGUUCCCGGUCUUUGUACACACCGCCUGUCACACCA